UUGCUUAAUUUAAGUUAUUUUUGGAGGAAUUCCCAUCAAUACAAUCAUGUCACUGUUGGGAUUUGUUCUAAAAUACAAUCAUGACUCUGCCUGUAUGAUUUUUGUUUUUAUCUCCAAAACCAUAUGUUUGACUAUGUAUAUACUUGAUCCAAAUCAUGAUAAACCAAAUGGGAAAACAAACUCCCGAGUUUCUGUUGUUGGAAGUACGUGGAUCACUAGUUAUUGGCAAGACAAAAAGGUGAAGAAAGAUGAUUGUUUUUGCUGGAACAAUGAGACAAUAGCUUUUUUUCUUCUUCUUUAAUUAAUGAUAAAAGUUUGAUAAUUUUUACACAGUUUAUAAUUCGGAAAAUUAUUCUUUAGCAACAUUUAGAUAUGGUCCUCCUUCUCUAUCUUGAUAGUGGGAUUUGUCCUCUUUGUUAUUCUUUUUUAUAUUAAAAAUAAUCUUGCUGAUUAAAUUGUAUUAAGAAUCAAGAUAGUAUAUGUUCUCUAUAUCAAUUAAAACAACAUUGUAUAUUUGUAUUGGUCUUUUUAUAAACCAAGAACCAACUAAAAAAAGAGAAUAAAGUUGUUCUUUGAACCCAAAAACUUCAAGAUACAAAUAUGCAUGAGGCACGCGAAAGGGCUCUUUCUGUAACAGCAUGCCAAGGGGUUGCUUUCUGUGGCCAAAUUCAUGAUCACGGCUCUGCAACUAUUAAUUUUUUCGAGCCAAAUUUGUAACCGUAGCCAAACAUUCCUUUACCUUGGUCACAAGUCACAGCAUCAAUCAUGUAUGGUCUUUUGCAGUAUUGUUUGUUCUACCAUUUUGCAUUCUCUUUUUAAUGUAAGUGAUGUUAACUGCUGCAAGAUCUACUAGUAGCACAAAAAUUGAUUCUAGCUUAUAAAUAUCUGCAUUGUUUUCCUUGCUUUUAUCCUUUGCCUGUUUGUCACAAGGAUCAGAUUCACAUAGAUUUGGGUUUUGCACCAAUGAAUGAGGCUAUUCAGUUUCAUAUCAUCUGUCUCACAAAGUAUUUGAGCUCCUUAUUUUCUACGCACUCUGUUCCACAUUUUACUGCACUAGUUAGUUCCCUCUCUGCACUUGGCAGCGCCUCUAAAUCAAGUUUGAGGGCAGCAAAAUCUUUUUCAGGUACCUUUUUAAACUAACUACCAAUGCAAAGCUUGUCUUCUAUGUUAAGGCUUGUAGCCUCUAGGCAUAUAUUAACUUCUAAGUCUCAUAUGUUAUGAGAUAUUUUACCCUAAAAUAUAUAAAACAUUAUUCUCUGUAUAGCACAAAAAUCAAUCAAGAGAACCAUCCAUGUUUCUACACCUCUUUUGGUCUUUUUCUCCCUAUAAUUACUCCCAUUAUUUUAAGCGGUAUUUGCACAACCACCAAUAUAGUAUGAUAGUAUUAUUUGUUACUAUGAGAUCUGUCAAAACAACUCAGCACCCACUAAUCAAAUUAAUUGUGAGGAAGACUAACUCAGUAUCUUUAUUUGUUGCUUAGUUUUGGAAGGAUCUUAAAUUCUUGUAUUUGGAGGCUGGAGCCAAGGUGUCACAAAUCAUUCAAGUCAACGAAUGCUGUUUCAGCACUAUACAAAUAUAUUACUAAGCAAUGAGCAUGGUUAGUGCACUGCAAACGGCAAACACUUGAGAUUCCUUGUGCUUUUAGAAACCCAGAGAUCUGAAUACAUUACAUCGAUCUACCUACAACAACUUCCCUCAACCCCCUUCAUUCUUUUCUCAUCAUCUUCUGGACUUGAUUUUCAAUCAUGGCUGCAAAACUUGAGGGUCGAGCUUAUCUCUCUUCUUUUGUUGAUGCUGUUUCAAAGAAGCUGUCUUCAAUACUUGAAGAUGACUUUGUACUCGAAAGAAACGACUCUGAGCUGAAGUUGCUUGAAAGGUUGGAUGAUUGUCUGUGUGAUGUUGGACCUGUGCUUGAUGAUGCUGAGCUGAAGCAGUUCAGUGACGAGAGAGUGAAGAAGUGGCUUGUUGAUCUCCAAGAUGCUCUCUAUAUGGCUGAUGACUUUCUCGAUGAACUCUCCACUAAAGCUGCUACUGCUACUCCAAGGGAUCCAGGUAACUCUUAUGACUGGUCUCGCCCUGUUGAUUCAAUUAUUGAAGAUAGCGGUGUCAAUGUCAUUGAAAAUAUAGUUGGCAAACUAGAGUCUGGUGUACGACGAAAAGGUAAACUUUGUCUGAGAGAGAGUGCCAAGGUGGACUUCUCAUCAUGGAGAAUUCCAACAACAUCUCUUGUUUUAAGUUCCGACAUAUUUGGUCGGGACAAAGACAAGAAUGAGAUAAUCAAAAAGCUGUUAGAUGAUACCCGUGAUGCCGAAUCACCUGUGACUGUGAUCCCUAUUGUGGGUAUGGGUGGAAUAGGAAAAACUACUUUGGCUCAACUGGUUUACAAUGAUGCCAAAGUCGUGGGAAAAUUUGACACUAGAGCAUGGGUUUGUGUUGCUGAAAAUCCUGACCCUGUUAAUGUUACAAGGACAAUAAUAGGGGCAAUAGAUUCUUCUCCCUGUAACAUAGAUCAUUUUGAUUCACUUCAGACCGAUUUGAAGAAAAAAUUGACAGGAAUGACAUUUUUAGUUGUUUUAGACGAUGUCUGGAAUGAUCGACGAGACAUGUGGGAGAAUUUUCUAAAACCUUUUCAAUAUGGAAAUGAUGGAAGUAAGAUUCUCCUAACAACCCGUAGUGAAAAGGUUGCUUCUGUGUUCGCAGCUAACAAUCUACAUUAUCGACUAAGUUUAUUGUCGAAGGAAGACUGUUGGUCUGUGUUUUUGAAGCAUUCAUCCAUUUCUACUAAUUCUAAACAAUAUGCAGCUCUAGAACCAAUUGGUAGAAAAAUUGUUGAAAAGUGUAAGGGGUUACCUUUGGCUGUGAAGACACUUGGGGGCUUGUUGCGCAAUAAGUAUAAUGAAGGGGAUUGGGAGAAUAUACUUGAAUGUAAAAUCUGGGAACUCUCUGAAGAUGACAAUAUGAUUGUUCCUGCAUUAAGAGUUAGUUAUCACUACCUCCCUUCACAUUUAAAGCGGUGUUUUGUAUAUUGCUCAUUAUUUCCUGAGGAUUAUGAAUUUGACAAAGAUGAAUUAAUUUUGUUAUGGAUGGCUGAAGAUCUUUUACAAUCAAAGGAGAACAACACAUUAGAAAAAAUUGGUUGUUCUUAUUUUGAUGAAUUAGUUGCAAGGUCAUUUUUUCAACCUUCUAGUACUCAGAGAGGGUUAUUUGUAAUGCAUGAUCUCAUGCAUGAUCUAGCAACUUUUUUUGCUGGGAAAUUCUAUUUCAAACUCAAAGAAUUUGGCCAUCUACACAAGAUAGACAACAAAACUCGUCAUUUGUCAUAUGCUACAAAAUAUGAGGAUAGCAUCAAAUUAUUUCAAGGUGCCUAUAAUGGAGCAAUACACAUCAGAACAUUUUUAGAUCUUACUUGGCUUUGCUAUGGUCAAUCAAUUGAUAUUGAAAGCGAUUCUUGGCUCUUACGACAACAAUUUGUGUGUUUAAGAGUUAUGUCAUUUAAACACUUUUCUAUAGAGUCAUUGCCUGAUUCCAUAGGUGAAUUGAUUCAUUUGCGUUAUUUGAAUGUCUCUAACACACCUAUUGUGACAUUGUCCGAGUCAUUAUGUAAGUUAUACAAUCUCCAAACUUUGAAGUUGAGAAAUUGUUUUAAGCUAGAGAUGCUUCCCAGUCGCAUGCAAGAUCUCGUUAACCUGCACUACCUUGACAUUCGAGGUGCUUUUCGUCUGAAAGAGAUGCCGAAGGAAAUGAGCAAGUUGAAACAUCUAAACUUCUUAAGUGAUUAUAUCGUGGGCAAGCACGAAGAGAAUGGGAUAAGAGAAUUGGGAACACUGGACAAUCUUCAUGGCUCAUUUUGCAUUUCCAACUUGGAGAACAUCAAGAAUAGUGGUGAAGCUUUGAAGGCAAAGAUGGGUAACAAGAAGCACAUCAACACUUUAACAUUGAAUUGGCUUCCAAAGGGUGACAUUGAUGAUUUUCAAAGUGAAAGAGAUAUACUUGACAAGUUACAACCUCAUCAAAACUUGAAAGAGUUAUCAAUUAAGGGUUAUCGUGGUGAAACAUUCCCAGAUUGGUUAGGCCUUUCUUGCUACUCUAAUUUGACCAAAUUGAAUCUGUACUUUUGUAUGAAUUCUUGUGAACUUCCUUCACUGGGACAGUUACCCUCUUUACAGCAUCUGGAAUUUUCUGAACUUGAUGGGUUGGAGAAAAUUGAUUUGGCGUUUUACAACAACAGUGGAUCAUUCGAGCAGGAGACACCCUUCAAAUCUCUAGAAACUCUGAAAAUUGAGAACAUGGCUAAUUGGCGGGAGUGGCAUUUUCCUGAUGAGUUCGAUGGUUUUCCUGAGCUUAGAAUCCUUUCAAUAAUAAACUGUCCGGUGUUAAGUGGAGGUCUGCCUGCUCACCUUCCGGCUCUGCAGGAACUUACCAUUGUUGAAUGUGAAGAGCUUGCUUGUUUGCUGCCGAGGGCUCCGAAGCUUCACCAAUUAAAUGUAGAGGGUGAUGGAUUUCCUACGAUGAUUGCGGCACCGCAAAAUGUAGUAAUUUCAAAAACCCAGCUGGCGAAGUCCGUACUGGAGUGCCUGUCCCACAUCCAACAGCCACGUGUCCAAUUCCUGCAUAUCAGUAACUGUCAGUCAGCCAUAUCAAUUUCAGCAAAUUGUUUGCCCGCUUCUUUAAAAUACCUGAGAAUCCGUAAUUGUUCAAAAUUAACGUUCUCAGAGCAACUGCAACACAAAACCCUAACGGAGAUCUAUGUAGCGGGGUGUGGUUCACUGACGGUGUUUCCAGUGGGGUCCCUUCCAGAUCUCAACAAACUCACGAUCCGUAAAUGCCAAAGAAUGAAAUAUGUUGAGGUUCCACAGGCUCUUCCAAGUCUCCGUUAUUUAAGCAUCUCGGACUGCCGCAAUUUAGUAUCCUUGCCGCCGCUAGGGUUGGCUGCGCUCCACCUAGAGCAGCUCUGUAUAAACAAAUGCCCAGAAAUUGAUUGUUUUGAUGAGAAGUGUCUCCCGCAGAGUUUGGAAACACUUGAAAUCAAGCAAUGCCAGAAACUAGCGAGUUGGAUAACAUCAAAGGGUUUGCAGAGUCAAGGCCGUACCCGUCUUAUUCUUGAUCAAUGAUAUGAAGUUAAGUGGUUCUAGAAUUCUGGAACUUUCCAAAUUGGCUUCAUCAUCUCCGAGGCAUAAGCUGGAAGACCCACGGAUUCAAUUCUCUUGAUAUUCAAAGCAGCUGAUGUGCCCAGAGAGUGGGAAGUGCACUAUGUAUGUAGGGACUGAAAUUGACCCUAGAACACAGAGCUCUACACCAAGCUGCAACAUUGGUGAGGGAGGUAUUGCACUAGCUGAGUCUAUACAUGGUUCAGCACCUGAUAUUGCUGGAAAGAAUUUGGCAAAUCCAACUGCUUUACUGCUGAGUGGUGUUUCAAUGUUGCGCCAUUUGAAUCUCCAUGACAAAGCCGACCAAAUUCAAAACGCCAUCCUCAGCACAAUUGCAGAAGGGAAGUACCAAACUGCCGAUCUUGGAGGCAAAGCAAAGAAACUGAGUUCACGAAUGCAAUUAUUGAUCAUCUCUAUAUUAUGCUCUUGAGUAGGCAAGGAAUUGCUGCUAAUUUUGUUUUCUGUUAAUUUCCUAUUUAUUUUUUCCCGACUUUUUUCGAGGAGUAGGAUUACCUCAUCAUAAUGGGAAAACCCAUCUAAGGGAGUGACUUUAUAACCACAUGGCAUGGGCAAGCCUUAAAAUAUUGGGUGCCUAUGCAGUGUUAUGGACUUGAGAGGGACAGAGGGUUGGAGUCUCUAAAAUGUACUUUGUCUGAUAACCCUCCUUGGUCCAUUUUAGUAUUCUUUGUCAAUAAUAUAGUUAAGUAAAUGAAGUACCAUUAGUUUGUUUUUA
This is a non-coding RNA of Arachis ipaensis, 5880 nucleotides long. The record is from RefSeq and is a predicted model, not a curated record. Lineage: Eukaryota; Viridiplantae; Streptophyta; Magnoliopsida; Fabales; Fabaceae.